ACUUUUUUAUUAUAAUAAUUAUAUUUGAUUUCCAAUCAAAAGAUCUUAAUAAAGAAAAAGUA
RNAcentral lists this transfer RNA (62 nucleotides) under Pirkimerus japonicus. RNAcentral describes it as "tRNA-Gly". Lineage: Eukaryota; Metazoa; Arthropoda; Insecta; Hemiptera; Blissidae. The record is from RNAcentral.